Molecule: unclassified non-coding RNA, 348 nt
Filed under: soil metagenome
Description: partial contains 5.8S ribosomal RNA, internal transcribed spacer 2, and large subunit ribosomal RNA
Rfam family: 5.8S ribosomal RNA (bases 1-120)
Source: RNAcentral
GAUGAAGAACGUAGUAAAAUGCGAUAAGUAAUGUGAAUUGCAGAAUUCAGUGAAUCAUCGAAUCUUUGAACGCACAUUGCGCCCGCUGGUAUUCCGGCGGGCAUGCCUGUUCGAGCGUCAUUUCAACCCUCAAGCCCCCGGGUUUGGUGUUGGGGAUCGGUUCUGCCCUUCUGGGCGGUGCCGCCCCCGAAAUACAUUGGCGGUCUCGCUGCAGCCUCCAUUGCGUAGUAGCUAACACCUCGCAACUGGAACGCGGCGCGGCCAUGCCGUAAAACCCCAACUUCUGAAUGUUGACCUCGGAUCAGGUAGGAAUACCCGCUGAACUUAAGCAUAUCAAUAAGCGGAGGA